RNAcentral lists this long non-coding RNA (524 nucleotides) under Erythranthe guttata (spotted monkey flower). RNAcentral's name for it is "long non-coding RNA (EGUT_LNC002784)". The record is from RNAcentral. Lineage: Eukaryota; Viridiplantae; Streptophyta; Magnoliopsida; Lamiales; Phrymaceae.
ACCACUAGAUUGAGGCCUCAAACCUGAAAAUUGAGACACAAUUCUUGUAUUACGAUUAGCUACAAACUCGCAAUCAUAGGCAUCCUAAGUAACCUAAAGCAACUCAAAUUCAAUGAUAAACCAUCAUAAAGAACACAACAUUUGUCAAGUGACCAACAAAUAGUAACACUACAAGCCGAAUUAAUAUGAUAUGUGUAUAUCAAGUGCAAUAAUACCUCGACAUUUUCAAAUGACAUAAAAAUCAGAUGUAUGUACUGUAAAUCUGCAAUGUCCUCACAACCUGAAAUAAUUAUAUCAAUGUAUUUCUUUUCGACCUAGACCUGGACCAGAACUAGGUUCAUCCCUCUGCAAAUUAAAAACAAGCAAAUUGCACAAUUAUGAAAAGAGUACGGAUAAGAAAUUAGGAGAAGAACAUACUCGGAAGAUCCAACAUGACUGGUCGAUGAUACACUCGUUGCUCCAUUUGAAUUUGGUGAAGUGGGGGCAAUAGCAAAAGCCGAUCCACCAAAACCGUUUUGGAGACC